GGGUCAGUAGGUUGGUCGUGCCACCGGUACGUACUGGUCUCACUGAUUCCUCCUUCCUGAUGAGCUGUAAUGCCAUUAAUUUGGUGUUGCAGGGAAUCUGGACUGUUACUUUGAAAAAUUAGAGUGUUUAAAGCAGGCUAACGCUUGAAUACAUUAGCAUGGAAUAAUGAAAUAGGACGUUCGAUCCUAUUUUGUUGGUUUCUAGGAUUGACGUAAUGAUUA
Molecule: ribosomal RNA, 222 nt
Filed under: uncultured Glomeromycotina
Lineage: Eukaryota; Fungi; Glomeromycota
Description: partial 18S ribosomal RNA
Rfam family: Eukaryotic small subunit ribosomal RNA (bases 40-222)
Source: RNAcentral